GUGUGGUGUUGUGUGAGUUCUCCAUGCCUGGGGAAGCGUUCACCCCAGACAAAGCACCUAGAACAGGCUAAAAUAAUCCCACCCGAGUAUAAUUUGUGAACCAGUGAGUUCACUGGAGUGACCUACAGAAGCAAGAGGGACUCAAAGACAAGUUACAUCACCAAAAAGCCUGCACAUCACAGGUGAAAUCUCAGAAAAGAUGCACGCAUGGAGUUCCCCACCCAACCGGCGGCAGGCAGCGCCACUGAAGACCGUCUCCUCUCAGUCAUUUGCUGUCCAUAACUGUGGGCAUGGGCCUUGUGAACCUUUGAACUUUCUGAGCCUUUCGAGUUUCCGUCGUUUCCUGAGUCUUGCCAGCUUCUCUUCUCCUAUUGCCUUUAGAGGAAAUAAACAGGAAUUCCCGAAUCUUGUCUUCUGGGUGAAGUGGAGGUCCCGAAGAUGGAUGACUAACAGCGAGCCUCUGGCCACCAGGAUUGUUCGAAUUCAUGUGCUUAACUCACUUAUCAUAACCCCUGUCCCAGGCACCUCGAUUAUCCAACUCUGUAAAUGCAAACUCAAAGUGAGGCACCGAGGUGCACAGCUGUAAUCCUGCACACUCAGAAGGCUGGGCUAGCCUGGUCUACAUAGAGAGAAGCCCUUUCAAAAUAAAUAAAUGAUUAAAUGAAACAAA
RNAcentral lists this long non-coding RNA (670 nucleotides) under Rattus norvegicus (Norway rat). Its description in RNAcentral is "long non-coding RNA NONRATT010939". The record is from RNAcentral. Lineage: Eukaryota; Metazoa; Chordata; Mammalia; Rodentia; Muridae.